AGUCGAACGGUGCUAGCAAUAGCAUAGUGGCGCACGGGUGCGUAACACGUAACUAACCUACCCAUUACUGGGGGAUAGCCCGCCGAAAGGCGGAUUAAUACCGCAUAACACAUGUACCCGGCAUCGGGUGUUUGUUAAAGAUUUAUUGGUAAUGGAUGGGGUUGCGGGUCAUUAGCUAGUUGGUUGGGUAACGGCUGACCAAGGCGACGAUGACUAGGGGAGCUGAGAGGCUGGUCCCCCACACGGGCACUGAGAUACGGGCCCGACUCCUACGGGAGGCAGCAGUAGGGAAUAUUGGGCAAUGGGCGAGAGCCUGACCCAGCCAUGCCGCGUGCAGGAAGAAGGCUUUCUGAGUCGUAAACUGCUUUUGACAGGGAAGAAUAAGCACUACGUGUAGUGUGAUGACGGUACCUGCAGAAUAAGCACCGGCUAACUCCGUGCCAGCAGCCGCGGUAAUACGGAGGGUGCGAGCGUUGUCCGGAUUUAUUGGGUUUAAAGGGUGCGUAGGCGGCCAUUUAAGUCCGGGGUGAAAGCCCGUUGCUUAACAACGGAACUGCCCUGGAUACUGAGUGGCUUGAGUACAGACGAGGUUGGCGGAAUGGACCGAGUAGCGGUGAAAUGCAUAGAUACGGUCCAGAACCCCGAUUGCGAAGGCAGCUGACUAGGCUGUUACUGACGCUGAGGCACGACAGCGUGGGGAGCGAACAGGAUUAGAUACCCUGGUAGUCCACGCCGUAAACGAUGGAUACUCGCUGCGGGCUAAAGGUUGUCCGUGGCUUAGGGAAACCGAUAAGUAUCCCACCUGGGGAGUACGCCGGCAACGGUGAAACUCAAAGGAAUUGAC
RNAcentral lists this ribosomal RNA (844 nucleotides) under uncultured bacterium. RNAcentral's name for it is "bacterial SSU rRNA". It matches the Rfam family "Bacterial small subunit ribosomal RNA", at positions 60 to 914 of the family's 1533-position model. The record is from RNAcentral.